RNAcentral lists this long non-coding RNA (217 nucleotides) under Elaeis guineensis (African oil palm). RNAcentral describes it as "long non-coding RNA (EGUI_LNC043927)". Lineage: Eukaryota; Viridiplantae; Streptophyta; Magnoliopsida; Arecales; Arecaceae. The record is from RNAcentral.
AGCAAUAGCUCCAAGAUGCCAAGGCGAGCUAUGACGCGUACCGAGCCGGCUGGUGCAAGUAGGUGGAUGAAUACAGGGGGAAGCUCAAGAUGGCGACCGAUGAGGUUGCCCGCCUUCAAAGGCAGCUAGCUGAAGGGGCUUAGUUUGCUCCCGUUCAGGAUUCCGACGAACUCCAAUCCCUAAGAAGGACCGUAGAAGAACUAUCUGUCACCCUUGG